AGCUUUCUUAAUCUGUGCUGAGAUUUCGUCAGACACCAACCCAUUAAGGCUGAUCAGGCUUCGAAGAUAAGUGAAGUU
MicroRNA precursor from Schistosoma mansoni, 78 nucleotides. It matches the Rfam family "mir-3492 microRNA precursor family". The record is from Rfam. NCBI's taxonomy places the organism in Eukaryota, Metazoa, Platyhelminthes, Trematoda, Strigeidida, Schistosomatidae.